AAGAACUCAGCAGUACAUUGUUCAGGGAGAUAGAUAGAUAGAAAGAAAGAAAGAAAGAAAGAAAGAAAGAAAGAAAGAAAGAAAGAAAGAAAGAAAGAAAGAAAGAAAGAUAGAUAUAAUGUGAACAGUCAAAGUACAAAGGAAAGCAAGUGGAUGAUUAACAAAACCUAGGAUAGCAAUUACAUCUGUGGAAGAAAGAGGGACUUAUGUUUACAGAGAAAGAGAAAGCUUCAUGUUUUCUUAAAUGACUCAUGAGUAUACAGGUCCCUGUACACGUGUUCCUAUUUUCCUUUGCUGGCUCAUCAGGGCACGUGGUCAGCUGCUGGGGAUCUUUGGCAGAGUAAUGGACAGACAGCCCAGCGGCCUUGGCCCCUCUGGGUCAGCAGUUCCUUAGCUGGUAAGUCGUGGUUCCCAGAAGGACUCUCUCUGCUCUCCAAUCUCCUCAGCUGACAUUUUCCUGGGGAAGAGGUAAGAGGUACAUUGUUUAUUCCCCCAAAGCAUUUUAUGUUUGUUUCUUUGUUUUUUAAGUAGGUUCCAUGCCCAACAUGGGACAUGAACUCAUCACCCUGAGAUCAAGAGUUGCAUGCUAAAGAAAAAAAAAAGAGUUGCAUGCUCUACUCACUGAGCCAGCCAGGCGCACCUGUUCCACAGCAUUUUAAGUGCCCCAGAGCAAUGAACCCAAAGCACCGUCACUUGGACAAGUGCAGCAUCUCUCUCAGGAUGUACUAAGAUGUCUAUAGAUCAAAUAUUCCCAUAUUUAACAGUUUUCCUUCUGACCAUGACUCCUCGCUCUGUGCUUCCUCUUUUUUAAAAAAAAGAUUUUAUUUUAUUUAUGUAUUCGAGAGAGACAGAGAGGGGGAGAGAGAGGCAGAGACACAGGCAGAGGGAGAAGCAGAGGGAGAAGCAGGCUCCAUGCAGGGAGCCCGAACUGGGACUCAAUCCGGGACUCCAGGAUCACGCCCUGAGCUGAAGGCAGCACUAAACUGCUGAGCCACCCAGGCUGCCCUCGCUCUGUGCUUCUGGUCUCCAGGCUCUCACUAAGAGUGAGAAGCAGAGAAUUUCUCUGCCACUCCCUUCUUCUGGGCUCCAGAUCAGCAAGGUCUUGCAUCCACCCUGAACCUCAGAAUCUUCUUGCUUCAAAGAAUGUUCUGUAGUUAGCUUUAAGUUGAAGGAGGAUGGCGGCAAGGAUGUAUUCAAGAACCAUCUCCCCAGAAUUCCCAGAGGAAAAAUCAUUAUAUUCCAAAAUACCAUAGGCCAUUUCAUAGACCAUGGUGCAAUAGAACCAAGAUCAUCAACUAGAAGAAGCAAG
This 1309-nucleotide transfer RNA is filed under the name Canis lupus familiaris (dog). RNAcentral describes it as "lncRNA (ENSCAFG00845019181.1)". The record is from RNAcentral. Lineage: Eukaryota; Metazoa; Chordata; Mammalia; Carnivora; Canidae.